RNAcentral lists this transfer RNA (70 nucleotides) under Chirocentrus nudus (whitefin wolf-herring). RNAcentral's name for it is "tRNA-Pro". It matches the Rfam family "tRNA". Rfam says of the family: Transfer RNA (tRNA) molecules are approximately 80 nucleotides in length. The record is from RNAcentral. Lineage: Eukaryota; Metazoa; Chordata; Actinopteri; Clupeiformes; Chirocentridae.
CAGAGAGUAGUUUACUUAAGAAUUCUAGCUUUGGGAGUUAGCGGUGGAAGUUAAAGUCUUUCCUUUCUGG